GUCGUUGAUUUCACACUGCCGAGAAAAGCCUCUAGAUAGAAAAUAGGUGCCCGUACCGCAAACCGACACAGGUAGUCAAGAUGAGAAUUCUAAGGUGAGCGAGCGAACUCUCGUUAAGGAACUCGGCAAAAUGACCCCGUAACUUCGGGAGAAGGGGUGCUCUUUAGGGUUAACGCCCAGAAGAGCCGCAGUGAAUAGGCCCAAGCGACUGUUUAUCAAAAACACAGGUCUCUGCUAAACCGUAAGGUGAUGUAUAGGGGCUGACGCCUGCCCGGUGCUGGAAGGUUAAGAGGAGUGGUUAGCUUCUGCGAAGCUACGAAUCGAAGCCCCAGUAAACGGCGGCCGUAACUAUAACGGUCCUAAGGUAGCGAAAUUCCUUGUCGGGUAAGUUCCGACCCGCACGAAAGGCGUAACGAUUUGGGCACUGUCUCAACGAGAGACUCGGUGAAAUCAUAGUACCUGUGAAGAUGCAGGUUACCCGCGACAGGACGGAAAGACCCCGUGGAGCUUUACUGUAGCCUGAUAUUGAAAUUCGGCACAGCUUGUACAGGAUAGGUAGGAGCCUUUGAAACGUGAGCGCUAGCUUACGUGGAGGCGCUGGUGGGAUACUACCCUAGCUGUGUUGGCUUUCUAACCCGCACCACUUAUCGUGGUGGGAGACAGUGUCAGGCGGGCAGUUUGACUGGGGCGGUCGCCUCCUAAAAGGUAACGGAGGCGCUCAAAGGUUCCCUCAGAAUGGUUGGAAAUCAUUCAUAGAGUGUAAAGGCAUAAGGGAGCUUGACUGCGAGACCUACAAGUCGAGCAGGGUCGAAAGACGGACUUAGUGAUCCGGUGGUUCCGCAUGGAAGGGCCAUCGCUCAACGGAUAAAAGCUACCCCGGGGAUAACAGGCUUAUCUCCCCCAAGAGUUCACAUCGACGGGGAGGUUUGGCACCUCGAUGUCGGCUC
This 947-nucleotide ribosomal RNA is filed under the name Staphylococcus aureus. Its description in RNAcentral is "partial 23S ribosomal RNA". It matches the Rfam family "Bacterial large subunit ribosomal RNA", at positions 1590 to 2538 of the family's 2925-position model. The record is from RNAcentral. Lineage: Bacteria; Bacillati; Bacillota; Bacilli; Caryophanales; Staphylococcaceae.